RNAcentral lists this ribosomal RNA (234 nucleotides) under uncultured Lactobacillus sp. Its description in RNAcentral is "partial 16S ribosomal RNA". It matches the Rfam family "Bacterial small subunit ribosomal RNA", at positions 119 to 356 of the family's 1533-position model. The record is from RNAcentral. Lineage: Bacteria; Bacillati; Bacillota; Bacilli; Lactobacillales; Lactobacillaceae.
GGGGAGUUAAACAACCCUCGGUAAAACAAGAAUGCUAAUACCGGAUAACAACAGAUGAUGCCUAUCAACUGUUUAAAAGAAUGGUUCUGCUAUCACUCUUGGAUGGACCUGCGGUGCAUUAGCUAGUUGGUAGGGUAACGGCCUACCAAGGCGAUGAUGCAUAGCCGAGUUGAGAGACUUAUCGGCCACAUUGGGACUGAGACACGGCCCAAACUCCUACGGGAGGCAGCAGUG